UACGUAGGUCCCGAGCGUUGUCCGGAUUUAUUGGGCGUAAAGCGAGCGCAGGUGGUUUAUUAAGUCUGGUGUAAAAGGCAGUGGCUCAACCAUUGUAUGCAUUGGAAACUGGCAGACUUGAGUGCAGGUGAGGAGAGUGGAAUUCCAUGUGUAGCGGUGAAAUGCGUAGAUAUAUGGAGGAACACCGGUGGCGAAAGCGGCUCUCUGGCCUGUAACUGACACUGAGGCUCGAAAGCGUGGGGAGCAAACAGG
Molecule: ribosomal RNA, 252 nt
Filed under: uncultured bacterium
Lineage: Bacteria
Description: partial 16S ribosomal RNA
Rfam family: Bacterial small subunit ribosomal RNA
Source: RNAcentral